This 253-nucleotide ribosomal RNA is filed under the name uncultured bacterium. RNAcentral's name for it is "partial 16S ribosomal RNA". It matches the Rfam family "Bacterial small subunit ribosomal RNA", at positions 524 to 776 of the family's 1533-position model. The record is from RNAcentral.
UACGAAGGGGGCUAGCGUUGUUCGGAAUUACUGGGCUUAAAGCGUGCGUAGGCGGCCUAGCAAGUCGGGUGUGAAAGCCCUCGGCUCAACCGAGGAAUUGCGCCCGAAACUGCUGGGCUUGAGUGAGACAGAGGUGAGCGGAACUGAUGGUGGAGCGGUGAAAUGCGUUGAUAUCAUCAGGAACACCGGUGGCGAAGGCGGCAUCCUGGACCGACACUGACGCUGAGGAGCGAAAGCCAGGGGAGCAAACGGG